UAUGGGAAGAGGCAGGAGUCUGGGCUCAUUGGAAUCCUUCCUUUGAUGUGCAUUUGAACUAUCUAGAGCCAGCAUCCUGCUUUUCUCCAUCCUGAGUCCCCUCCGGGUGCACCAUCGGGGAUGGCUGCCAUGGCUGAUGAUGGCUGACGGCUGCAACACUCUGUUGACUGACAGGGCAGGCGACAUUCUUCAUCCAUACAGGUUCAAGUUUUCUUUCUUGCUCGAUUUACUGGCUAGGGUUGGAGUGGGAGACUCUGCUCUUUGCAGAUGUGAGGGACUCAGGGUCCUUCAACAUUGUGGCGUCACCUUCCUCAGGUCCUCAGAGCCCCGCGCUGGAAGCAGGGAGCUUGGAGAAGGCACGCACGCUCUUGGCCUCUUCUGCCCAGAGAGGACAGAGCCACUUCUGCGCAUGGUCCACUGGUCAGGGCUCGUCCCAGGGCCCCACCCAGAGGCAAGGGGGCUGUCGAAGGGAAUCUGGAUGCAGCAAAGAGAAAGGGCCAAUGGGUAUUGAUUAACAACUAGCCAAGGUCCUACCUACCUACCAAUUCACUGUCAGAUCUUUAGAAUACAAAGGGUUACAUUCCUGCAAUCCUCCUCUAAUUCGAGACAAUUCUCCAUUCAUAUUCUCUUUUGCUUAGAGCAACCUUGAGCUGGGUCUUCCCAGGCUCUUCUUUCUACCCCUACAGGCUGUGGUCUCCUCGGAAGCUUUGGUGGGAUGCAGGCACCAUCUGGGAGAAGGCGCCUCGGAACUCACAUGCCCGCGUUGCCCAGGACCCCAAUUCCUUCCACCUCUCGGAUGCUGCUUUCUUUUCCCAGGGACAGAGCCAAGCUGUAAUUGACUCCUUGGGCAUUUCAAAGUCCCUGAUCCCAAGACUGAAGGAUGACUCCCUGCUGUUGUGAAAGAUUGCACCUUGCUGUGGCUGGAUCAAUAACUCUGGAGUGAGCUGUUUGCCCUCAAAACUGCUGGGGCCGCAGCCAUGGAGCUGCAGGAUCCCAACGGGGUCCUGACGUCCAUCUGCUCUGUUUUUUUCAGGUGCGCUGAAUCGACAGUCCUGAGUUUUGAAGUUUUCCUGGAGGGGACUUGAGGGGAUUUCUCCAGGAUCGAUGCAACUCCUUUUGUGGUGCUUCAGUGCUUCCACCAUGAAGCGCUCAUUUCCCUAUGCACGUCCCCCCGCCCCACCCCACUGUUUCCUUUACUCUCUCUCCUCCCACCCCCAAUUCCCAGAAGAAGAUCUAGGAAUCAGGUCCAAACAUAAGAUCUUUGGAGAAUCC
Molecule: long non-coding RNA, 1272 nt
Organism: Balaenoptera musculus (blue whale)
Lineage: Eukaryota; Metazoa; Chordata; Mammalia; Artiodactyla; Balaenopteridae
Exons: 2
Source: RefSeq, a predicted model, not a curated record